Drosophila ananassae is the source of this 924-nucleotide long non-coding RNA. RefSeq lists it as uncharacterized. The record is from RefSeq and is a predicted model, not a curated record. NCBI's taxonomy places the organism in Eukaryota, Metazoa, Arthropoda, Insecta, Diptera, Drosophilidae. The transcript has 2 exons.
CAUGAACUCAAGCAUGACACCAUUUUGCACAACACUUAUACAGGGCCCACCCCUUAGGGGUGGUAGUGGGAGUUAUGGGCUCGUGACAGAGCCUAACGACAGAAAUCGACAGGCCCGAACAUGCAAAUCAAAUUAUUUUGGAAUAUAAAAUGCUUAUUAACGGAUUAUAUGCUCACUCAAUAUGACUUGGAGAGUGGAGAGAGUGAGAGAGUGGAGAGUGCCUCCCUUUUGGAUCUCCUAUUAAUGGCCGAUAACUUUAUUUAUCGACCAGCCUAGGCUAUCGAAAUAAAUGACACCACCAGGCAACCGGAAGUUAAAGUUACAAAAAAUGUCAGAUUUUGAAGAAGAAAUGGAGACUGAUGGAUGUCCUGGUUAAUAAUCAGGUGACGAAGAAAGGCACUCCCCCUCAAAGACAAAACACCAGGAGAAAAAGAAAUGGAAAGCCCGCCAUUAUGGCAAUUUAAUCGACCGGAAAUAAAGUUCUUAAGCAUCAUAAACAAGAUUUAAUGUGACAAAAAGGCAAAUCACAGUCGGAGGAAGGCGCUUCCCAAAGCCUCGCACAAAAUGUCAAAUGCCAUUUGGCCCAGAGGCGGCGACAAACAAGCCAAAAUGACACCUCCUCCCCAGGACUCUCGCUUCAGCCCUCCAUCCCAGGACAACCCUUACCUUUUCGCAAAAAAACAAAUAAAAAGAAAAGUAUCAACUAUGGGGGGGAUGGAAUGUCUUCGCGGUCUAGUUACAAUUUCAAGAGUUUUCUGUUUUUGGAAAAAAAGUGUCUCCCUAAUCUUCAUUGACUGGAUUGCUUAACAUAUAUGUCUUAUAUAUUUUGCAUAUAUAUUUAUGUGUGUGUGUGUGUGUGUGUGUGUGCCAGGUGUAGAUGUAUCUUGUGUGUGUUUGCCAAAUACUUAACACAUUUAUUUCUCA